GACGAACGCUGGCGGCGUGCUUAACACAUGCAAGUCGAACGGAAAGGCCCUGCUUUUGUUGGGUUCUCGAUUGGCGAACGGGUGAGUAACACGUGAGUAUCCUGCCCUUGACUUUGGGAUAACUUCAGGAAACUGGGGCUAAUACCGGAUAUGAGCUCCUGCUGCAUGUUGGGGGUUGUAAAGAUUCGGCGGUUCGGGAUGGUCUCGCGGCUUAUCCGCUUGUUGGGGUGGUAGUUGCUUACCAAGGCUUUGACGGGUAGCCGGCAUGGGAGGGUGACCGGCCACAUUGGGACUGCGAUACGGACCAGAAUCCUACGUGCGGCAGCAGUGGAGAAUAUUGCAGAAUGGGCGGAAGCCUGAUGCAGCAACGCCGCGUGCGGGAUGACGGCCUUCGGGUUGUAAACAGCUUUCGACUGUGACGAAGCGUGAGUGACGGUAAUGGGUAAAGAAGCAACGGCUAACUACGUG
Molecule: ribosomal RNA, 468 nt
Filed under: uncultured bacterium
Lineage: Bacteria
Description: partial 16S ribosomal RNA
Rfam family: Bacterial small subunit ribosomal RNA
Source: RNAcentral